UGGGGAAUUUUGGACAAUGGGCGCAAGCCUGAUCCAGCUAUUCCGCGUGUGGGAAGACGGCCUUCGGGUUGUAAACCACUUUUGUAGAGAACGAAAAGUCUAUUGAUAAUAUCGAUAGAUGAUGACGGUACUCUAAGAAUAAGCACCGGCUAACUACGUGCCAGCAGCCGCGGUAAUACGUAGGGUGCGAGCGUUAAUCGGAAUUACUGGGCGUAAAGGGUGUGCAGGCGGUUUUGCAAGAUGGAUGUGAAAGCCCCGGGCUUAACCUGGGAAAGCCAUACAUGACUGCAAGACUAGAGUGCG
RNAcentral lists this ribosomal RNA (303 nucleotides) under uncultured bacterium. RNAcentral describes it as "bacterial SSU rRNA". It matches the Rfam family "Bacterial small subunit ribosomal RNA", at positions 355 to 650 of the family's 1533-position model. The record is from RNAcentral.